CUAAGGAGCAUCUGCAUUACUCGGUUCGAAGAGUCGAACUCGGGGAUGCCAGAGCCGUUCAUGUUCUCGUAUGUAGAACUGCGGUGCUCAUGGGUGGAACACUGACAACUUUCAUCGCAUACGAGCUCGGCAAAGUCUGAGAUCGCGAUGGGUAUACCGACACACUAUUGGGUCCUGAAAGAACACGCGAGUGUCUUUCAAGGCGAAAGCAAACGAUCCGCUCGGAUCUUCGUUAGUACCGCAGAGCUUGCUCUGGCCGGCUUCGAAUCAGGGUUUGAGUGGGUGUGUUGUUUGAGAACUGCACAGUGGACGCGAGCAUCUUUGUUAGUAAGUGUUUAAGAGCGUAC
Molecule: unclassified non-coding RNA, 347 nt
Filed under: Nocardia asteroides
Lineage: Bacteria; Bacillati; Actinomycetota; Actinomycetes; Mycobacteriales; Nocardiaceae
Description: 16S-23S ribosomal RNA intergenic spacer
Source: RNAcentral